UAGGUCCUCUCCUAUAUAAAA
RNAcentral lists this non-coding RNA (21 nucleotides) under Caenorhabditis elegans. Lineage: Eukaryota; Metazoa; Nematoda; Chromadorea; Rhabditida; Rhabditidae. The record is from RNAcentral.